Molecule: small RNA, 125 nt
Filed under: Marmota monax (woodchuck)
Lineage: Eukaryota; Metazoa; Chordata; Mammalia; Rodentia; Sciuridae
Source: RNAcentral
GCCAGGUGCAGUGGUGCAUGCCUGUGAUCCCAGCACCUUGGGAGGCUGAGACAGGAGGAUCAUGGGUUCAAAGCCAGCCUCAGCAAAAGUGAGGUGCUAAGCAACUCAGUGAGACCCUGUCUCUA